UUCAUCAUUAGUAUCACAUAAUUACAACGAUCGUAAUCGAAACAAAAAAUGGAAAAAUAAAUAUAAAAAAUAAAAUUAUAAAUGAAGUGUCAAUAGCAAGAACUAAACUCUACAAAAUCAUGAAAAAAAUGACAAUUUAUUUGAAAGGAAAUGCCAAAAAAAAAGUAGAAAAAAUGGAAAAAUGUAAACAUGGAAGAAAGUUAGGCAGGUAGGGGUUGAACCCAGGUUAUGGGGUUGGG
Molecule: long non-coding RNA, 239 nt
Filed under: Lathyrus oleraceus (garden pea)
Lineage: Eukaryota; Viridiplantae; Streptophyta; Magnoliopsida; Fabales; Fabaceae
Description: Pisum sativum (pea) long non-coding RNA (PSAT_LNC000598)
Source: RNAcentral